UACGUAGGGGGCAAGCGUUAUCCGGAUUUACUGGGUGUAAGGGGAGCGCAGACGGCAGUGCAAGUCUGGAGUGAAAGCCCGGGGCCCAACCCCGGGACUGCUCUGGAAACUGUACGGCUAGAGUACGGGAGGGGCAGGCGGAAUUCCUAGUGUAGCGGUGAAAUGCGUAGAUAUUAGGAGGAACACCGGCGGCGAAGGCGGCCUGCUGGGCCGAAACUGACGUUGAGGCUCGAAAGCGUGGGGAGCAAACAGG
RNAcentral lists this ribosomal RNA (253 nucleotides) under uncultured bacterium. RNAcentral describes it as "partial 16S ribosomal RNA". It matches the Rfam family "Bacterial small subunit ribosomal RNA", at positions 524 to 776 of the family's 1533-position model. The record is from RNAcentral.